This 405-nucleotide ribosomal RNA is filed under the name uncultured bacterium. RNAcentral's name for it is "bacterial SSU rRNA". It matches the Rfam family "Bacterial small subunit ribosomal RNA", at positions 355 to 776 of the family's 1533-position model. The record is from RNAcentral.
CAGGGAAUCUUGCGCAAUGGGCGAAAGCCUGACGCAGCGACGCCGCGUGGGGGAAGAAGGCCCUAGGGUUGUAAACUCCUUUUCUGGGGGAAGAGAAUGGACGGUACCCCAGGAAUAAGCCCCGGCUAACUACGUGCCAGCAGCCGCGGUAAUACGUAGGGGGCGAGCGUUGUCCGGAUUUACUGGGCGUAAAGGGCGUGUAGGCGGCCUGGAAAGUCUUUGGUGAAAUCUCCCGGCUCAACUGGGAGGGGUCCAGGGAUACUUCCAGGCUAGAGGGCAGUAGAGGAGAGUGGAAUUCCCGGUGUAGUGGUGAAAUGCGUAGAUAUCGGGAGGAACACCUGUGGCGAAAGCGGCUCUCUGGGCUGUACCUGACGCUGAGGCGCGAAAGCGUGGGGAGCAAACCGG